GCCACAUCGUGUUGAUCGGGAAACUCAUCAAAUAAAUUUCUUUACCGAGACAAGCUUCUUAUACCAAUGGCGGGCCACGCUUUCGAAAGGAAGAUGCUAUAUGCACGGUGGAUUACAAAGGUUUGGAGCCCUCAAAUCCUGUUUACAGGAGUUUCAUCACGUCCAGGUGUGGCUUUUUU
This 179-nucleotide small RNA is filed under the name fish gut metagenome. Its description in RNAcentral is "Bacteroidales-1 6S-Bacteroidales RNA suggested". It matches the Rfam family "Bacteroidales-1 6S-Bacteroidales RNA suggested". The record is from RNAcentral.